GAUUUCUGGCUUGAAACAUUUUGCCGGCCACGGUUUCGUGUGUUAGUGCUUGGUGUUCUGGCCAUCCUUCCAAUCGCUGUUUGUCUUUCUUCAUUGAUGGGCAAGUGGUAUUGGAUCUUUUACUUUGAAAAAAUUAGAGUGUUUAAAGCAGGCUUACGCAAUGAAUACAUUAGCAUGGAAUAAUAAUUUAGGACUUCGGUUCUAUUUUGUUGGUUUCUAGGACUGAAGUAAUGAUUGAUAGGGAUAGUUGGGGGUGCUAGUAUUCCGCGGCCAGAGGUGAAAUUCUUGGAUUCGCGGAAGACUAACUACUGCGAAAGCAUU
Molecule: ribosomal RNA, 321 nt
Filed under: uncultured Mollimonas
Lineage: Eukaryota; Cercozoa; Glissomonadida
Description: SSU rRNA
Rfam family: Eukaryotic small subunit ribosomal RNA (bases 110-321)
Source: RNAcentral